CUGUGCAGGAGUCAGUCCCAGUCAGGACACAGCAUGGACAGGAGGGUCCCCACUCAGCUCCUGGGCUUCCUGUUGCUCUGGCUCUCAGGAGUCAGAGGUGACAUCCAGAUGACCCAGUCUCCAUCCUCCCUGUCUGCAUCUGUAGGAGACAGUGUCACCAUCACUUGCCGGGCAAGUCAGAGCUUUAGUAGUAGUUUAGCCUGGUAUCAGCAGAAACCAGGGAAAGCCCCUAAGCUCCUGAUCUAUAGUGCAUCCAGUUUGCAAUCUGGGGUUCCUUCGAGGUUCAGUGGCAGUAAGUCUGGGACAGAUUUCACUCUCACCAUCAGCAGCCUGCAGCCUGAAGAUAUUGCUAGUUAUUACUGUCAACAGUAUUACAGUGACCCUCCCACAGUGUUACACACCUAAACAUAAACCUCCCAG
Non-coding RNA from Macaca mulatta (Rhesus monkey), 420 nucleotides. NCBI's taxonomy places the organism in Eukaryota, Metazoa, Chordata, Mammalia, Primates, Cercopithecidae. The record is from the annotation of a RefSeq genome assembly.